CUGAUGUACUCGGAUCAAUUAUAUUGGCAUCACAAAGCUGUGUAGUCUUUUCAAACAGGUGACAAAGUUUAGUCUGCGAGGAAAUAGAAAAAGCUCUACAGUCAAUGGUUUUUCCACAUGUCUUCGCACAUUCAACUUUCGCAAUUACACCGCUACUGUGUAUAACUUCAGAUUUCAACGGCUGACCUGAAAUGGCUCUACCGUAGAAAGCUGUUCUAUAAAGCUGCGAAGUUGGACCACUUUUGACUUCUCC
This 253-nucleotide long non-coding RNA is filed under the name Mytilus galloprovincialis (Mediterranean mussel). Lineage: Eukaryota; Metazoa; Mollusca; Bivalvia; Mytilida; Mytilidae. The record is from RNAcentral.